UGGGGAAUAUUGCACAAUGGGGGAAACCCUGAUGCAGCAACGCCGCGUGAAGGAUGAAGGUUUUCGGAUUGUAAACUUCUAUCGAUAGGGACGAAUUUUGACGGUACCUAGGUAAGAAGCCCCGGCUAACUACGUGCCAGCAGCCGCGGUAAUACGUAGGGGGCAAGCGUUAUCCGGAUUUACUGGGUGUAAAGGGUGAGUAGGCGGCCUUGAAAGUCAUGUGUGAAAUCUAUAGGCUUAACUUAUAAACUGCACAAGAAACUUCAAGGCUCGAGUACAGGAGAGGUUGGCGGAAUUCCUAGUGUAGCGGUGAAAUGCGUAGAUAUUAGGAAGAACACCGGUGGCGAAGGCGGCCAACUGGACUGAAACUGACGCUGAGUCACGAAAGCGUGGGGAGCGAACA
RNAcentral lists this ribosomal RNA (403 nucleotides) under uncultured Eubacteriales bacterium. RNAcentral describes it as "uncultured Clostridiales bacterium partial 16S ribosomal RNA". It matches the Rfam family "Bacterial small subunit ribosomal RNA", at positions 355 to 774 of the family's 1533-position model. Lineage: Bacteria; Bacillati; Bacillota; Clostridia; Eubacteriales. The record is from RNAcentral.